UUCUGGCUCAGGAUGAACGCUGACAGAAUGCUUAACACAUGCAAGUCUACUUGAUCCUUCGGGUGAAGGUGGCGGACGGGUGAGUAACGCGUAAAGAACUUGCCUUACAGACUGGGACAACAUUUUGGAAACGAAUGCUAAUACCGGAUAUUAUGAUUGGGUCGCAUGAUCUGGUUAUGAAAGCUAUAUGCGCUGUGAGAGAGCUUUGCGUCCCAUUAGUUAGUUGGUGAGGUAACGGCUCACCAAGACGAUGAUGGGUAGCCGGCCUGAGAGGGUGAACGGCCACAAGGGGACUGAGACACGGCCCUUACUCCUACGGGAGGCAGCAGUGGGGAAUAUUGGACAAUGGACCAAAAGUCUGAUCCAGCCAAUUCUGUGUGCACGAUGAAGUUUUUCGGAAUGUAAAGUGCUUUCAGUUGGGAAGAAGUCAGUGACGGUACCAACAGAAGAAGCGACGGCUAAAUACGUGCCAGCCGCCGC
Molecule: ribosomal RNA, 480 nt
Filed under: uncultured bacterium
Lineage: Bacteria
Description: bacterial SSU rRNA
Rfam family: Bacterial small subunit ribosomal RNA
Source: RNAcentral